UCACCAGAGCCAAAAUCAAGAUUCUGACUGGGCCACCCAGCCGCCCCUAGAUCUCUUUUAAGAUGUCGAUGAAUGUGCGGUGGUGAAUGGAGGCUGCCAGCAGCGCUAUAUUAACACUCUGGGCACCUUCCACUGUGAAUGUGAUACGGGAUACAGACUCCAUGCUGACGAACGCACCUGCAUAAGAAAUGAGAGAAGGCCAAGGGAAACAGGUACAGAUGUCCUCGUCAUAGGUCUGAUUUUGAUAUGAGAAAAUGGGGUUCGGACAGCAACAAAAAGACUUUGCCAAAAUCGAGCGAAAAUACAGAUAGAAGUCAUACCCAAGCAACCAGGGAACUCAAUAGCAUAAUGAUUAUAUCUACAGGAAUCACAAAUGGUGGGACAGCAGCCCAUGCAUAUUUAUGUAACCCAAAUAGCCCCUUCUUUUUGCAAGAUUACUGGUUUUAGCAACAGGAAUCCCUUUCCCAUCCACAUCCCCAGCCUGUAAGGUCUUCAGGGUAGCAUCCUUUAAACUGCCAUUCUAACUUCUCUCAGUCACAAAAUAUUUGGGAGCAGCAGGAUUAUUGAUACAUACAGAUGAGGUAUUUAUCAGUUAAGGUUGAGCUGGUGAAUUUUUGUAUCUGAUAGACAAAUAUUUUGCCAAGUAGUAAUUUCUAUAAAUCUAUGAUAUCUGGUCUUUUUGAUAAGGCCAAAUAAACACUCUAAUAACCAACUAAAUUAUAUACACAGGUAUAAUUUCCUAAGUUUUGGUGGUUAAUAGCUAUUUCUUAGUAAAAUCAUUAAGCACUUUUCUUAUUCCUGACCGCCAUUGCCCUUGAAUUUUCUAAAUUUUGUUCUAAUGACUUCGGGUCAAGAGUGGAGUUGGAUAAGGAUAUUAUGGUUUAUCUUUUCUAUUUCUAUUCCGUAAAAGUCCUGCUGUGCAGAUACAUGGACACUACAGUUAUAGCUUAGUUUAAGUUCCUUAUGCUGAUCUUCUAUGCAGAAUUUCAGCAUAGUAUACAAAUUAUAUAUAUAUAUAUAUAUAUAUAUAUAUAUAUAUAUAUAUAUAUAUAUGGUGCAAAGUAAGCUAAUGAGAGGUAUGGAUUUCAUGGCUAUAAUCUUUUUAAAGCAUUAACCCCACAGAUGUGACUCUACUGAUGGUACAUGACUGAGACCCAGCACUUGACCUUUAUGGAAAUUCUGAUGCCUCUCUCACAUAAAACACUGAAGGGCCUUAAGAAUCUCAGGUGAUACAAUUACAGCAUUCUUGUUAAAAUGAGUUAGAGAAGAAUUUAAGUACUUUGUAUUUAAAGACUAAUACUGGGGGCG
Molecule: long non-coding RNA, 1308 nt
Organism: Felis catus (domestic cat)
Lineage: Eukaryota; Metazoa; Chordata; Mammalia; Carnivora; Felidae
Exons: 3
Source: RefSeq, a predicted model, not a curated record